Molecule: ribosomal RNA, 119 nt
Filed under: Saimiri boliviensis boliviensis (Bolivian squirrel monkey)
Lineage: Eukaryota; Metazoa; Chordata; Mammalia; Primates; Cebidae
Source: RNAcentral
GUCUAUGGCCAUAUCACCCUGUACAUGUCUGAUCUCGUCUGAUCUUGAAAGCUAAGCAGUGUCGGGUCUGGUUAGUACUUGGAUGGGAGAUUGCCUGGGACUAUCAGGUGCCGUAGGCU